AAUACGAAGGGACCUAGCGUAGUUCGGAAUUACUGGGCUUAAAGAGUUCGUAGGUGGUUAAAAAAGUUGGUGGUGAAAUCCCAGAGCUUAACUCUGGAACUGCCAUCAAAACUUUUUAGCUAGAGUAUGAUAGAGGAAAGCAGAAUUUCUAGUGUAGAGGUGAAAUUCGUAGAUAUUAGAAAGAAUACCAAUUGCGAAGGCAGCUUUCUGGAUCAUUACUGACACUGAGGAACGAAAGCAUGGGUAGCGAAGAGGAUUAGAUACCCUCGUAGUCCAUGCCGUAAACGAUGUGUGUUAGACGUUGGAAAUUUAUUUUCAGUGUCGCAGCGAAAGCAUUAAACACACCGCCUGGGGAGUACGACCGCAAGGUUAAAACUCAAAUGAAUUGACGGGGACCCGCACAAGUAGUGGAGCAUGUGGUUUAAUUCGAAGAUACGCGCAGAACCUUACCAACACUUGACAUGUUCGUCGCGACUUUAAGAGAUUAAAGUUUUCGGUUCGGCCGGACGAAACACAGGUGCUGCAUGGCUGUCGUCAGCUCGUGUCGUGAGAUGAUGGGUUAAGUCCCGCAACGAGCGCAACCCUCACUUUUAGUUGCCAUCAUUUAGUUGGGCACUCUGAAAGAACUGCCAGUGAUAAGCUGGAGGAAGGUGGGGAUGACGUCAAGUCCUCAUGGCCCUUACGUGUUGGGCUACACACGUGCUACAAUGGCAUUUACAAUAGGAAGCAAAAUGGCGACAUAAAGCAAAUCCUAAAAAGAUGCCUCAGUUCGGAUUGUACUCUGCAACUCGAGUACAUGAAGCUGGAAUUACUAGUAAUCGCGGAUCAGCGCGCCGCGGUGAAUACGUUCCCGGGUCUUGUACACACCGCCCGUCACACCAUGGGAGUUGGUUCUACCUUAAGGCAAGGUUUAAAACCCUUGACUACGGUAUAGUCAGC
RNAcentral lists this ribosomal RNA (939 nucleotides) under uncultured bacterium. RNAcentral's name for it is "bacterial SSU rRNA". It matches the Rfam family "Bacterial small subunit ribosomal RNA", at positions 522 to 1472 of the family's 1533-position model. The record is from RNAcentral.